Molecule: ribosomal RNA, 233 nt
Filed under: Gammaproteobacteria bacterium
Lineage: Bacteria; Pseudomonadati; Pseudomonadota; Gammaproteobacteria
Description: partial 16S ribosomal RNA
Rfam family: Bacterial small subunit ribosomal RNA
Source: RNAcentral
GGAGGAAGGUGGGGACGACGUCAAGUCAUCAUGGCCCUUACGAGUAGGGCUACACACGUGCUACAAUGGGCAUUACAGAGGGUUGCGAAGCCGCGAGGUGGAGCUAAUCUCAGAAAGGUGCUCGUAGUCCGGAUUGGAGUCUGCAACUCGACUCCAUGAAGUCGGAAUCGCUAGUAAUCGCGGAUCAGAAUGCCGCGGUGAAUACGUUCCCGGGCCUUGUACACACCGCCCGU